Molecule: non-coding RNA, 29 nt
Filed under: Mus musculus (house mouse)
Lineage: Eukaryota; Metazoa; Chordata; Mammalia; Rodentia; Muridae
Source: RNAcentral
GCAGGUACCACAUUUUCAUCAGGCUUGUC